Molecule: ribosomal RNA, 481 nt
Filed under: uncultured bacterium
Lineage: Bacteria
Description: bacterial SSU rRNA
Rfam family: Bacterial small subunit ribosomal RNA
Source: RNAcentral
GUACUUACUCCUACGGGAGGCAGCAGUGGGGAAUUUUGGACAAUGGGCGAAAGCCUGAUCCAGCAAUGCCGCGUGCAUGAUGAAGGCCUUCGGGUUGUAAACUGCUUUUGUACGGAACGAAAAGUCUCGGGAUAAUACCCUGGGACCAUGACGGUACCGUAAGAAUAAGCACCGGCUAACUACGUGCCAGCAGCCGCGGUAAUACGUAGGGUGCAAGCGUUAAUCGGAAUUACUGGGCGUAAAGCGUGCGCAGGCGGUUAUAUAAGACAGAUGUGAAAUCCCCGGGCUCAACCUGGGAACUGCAUUUGUGACUGUAUAGCUAGAGUACGGUAGAGGGGGAUGGAAUUCCGCGUGUAGCAGUGAAAUGCGUAGAUAUGCGGAGGAACACCGAUGGCGAAGGCAAUCCCCUGGACCUGUACUGACGCUCAUGCACGAAAGCGUGGGGAGCAAACAGGAUUAGAUACCCUUGUAGUCCAGGCAU